Molecule: non-coding RNA, 48 nt
Filed under: Schistosoma margrebowiei
Lineage: Eukaryota; Metazoa; Platyhelminthes; Trematoda; Strigeidida; Schistosomatidae
Source: RNAcentral
AUCUGUCUGACGAGUCUGAAAUAGGACGAAACGUGAGUCAAACUGGAU